CACAGACGCAGUGGAUGUCUUUGGCAUCUUUUAUUGUAUGACAACACGGGCUCUCUAGUGGCGGGUACCGGUCACCAAGGCUCUUUUCGAUGUUAUGCCAACAGUCUCGCAUCACCAUUUUUUGUCAAGGAGGCAAUGGUCUACCUGGUUGACUUCUCGUGCAUAGCACGAACAAGAAGAGAGACCGACAAGGACUAGGAAGCAUACUCCGACUAAUUUUGCGUUGUUCAUGUUCUAUGUUGUGUAGUAC
This 250-nucleotide long non-coding RNA is filed under the name Hordeum vulgare. RNAcentral's name for it is "long non-coding RNA (HVUL_LNC021343)". Lineage: Eukaryota; Viridiplantae; Streptophyta; Magnoliopsida; Poales; Poaceae. The record is from RNAcentral.